UGCAGGAUGCCUGGGCCACAAUUAGCAGCGAAUUCAGCAGGUCUAGAAAGCUACUUGCAUCCAUUGCCAGUAUGCCGCACCCACAUCUCCAGGAGAGAACCCUGUCUUCAGGGCAUGGUCUCUAUUCUUCAGAUUUAGAAAGUGAGAUUCAGAGAACCUCAAGACCACCUGGAACCCUUAGGAAAUUUCACGUAAUUGUACCAAGUAUGAACCUAAGGUUUUCCAGUCUUUCUGGGACUGACGGUCAUGCAGGGCAGAUUUCCCCGGAGGAGCUCACACCUUACACAUCCCCCAUUAACAGAGAGGGCCUGCUGGAGCAGUGGGCCAAAGCAAGCCCAUUUCCCCUUGGGACGGAUGUCAUCACACUGUCUGGGGCCUCUCUCAGGUGGGCAAGAUCUAAGAUACAGCUCCACGUCGGCUGUGUUUCCUUUAUCUUUCAUACCAGUCCUGAUCAAAGGGGGGCAUUGGUGGUUAUACACACUGCAUUGCAGUUAAGGUGAUGACUUUGACUGGAAUCAGAGGUGGGAAAGUUCAUGGGAUAGAAAAUGAAACAGCAUCCUAUGAGCCCAGUCGUUCUGCCUGGGGGAGGCAUGAACCUUUAUCCACGUGCCAACCUUUCAUCUCACUGAAGAUCAGAGCUACAUGUCAUUUCAUUCGCAGGUAAGAGCAGGGAGUAGUAGGGCCCUGUGAUUUUCCAGUGACUCAGCCUGUGCACUUUAAAGAAAGAUUUUAGAGAAAGAGCUGGCUGUUGGUGUGGAAGUCACAUGUAGGGAACUGGGUUGGUGUGACUCCUCAGCUCAAGGAUAUUAGCAGCAUUGGUCUCUGUGAGACCCCUCUCUUGGAUUUACCUACUUCCUUAUUCCUCUUAUUCCCCACCCUGCAGUUCCAUUUUCCUCUCCCACCCACAGUGAU
This is a long non-coding RNA of Manis pentadactyla (Chinese pangolin), 912 nucleotides long. RefSeq lists it as uncharacterized. NCBI's taxonomy places the organism in Eukaryota, Metazoa, Chordata, Mammalia, Pholidota, Manidae. The transcript has 3 exons. The record is from RefSeq and is a predicted model, not a curated record.